This is a small nuclear RNA of Dromiciops gliroides (monito del monte), 103 nucleotides long. Lineage: Eukaryota; Metazoa; Chordata; Mammalia; Microbiotheria; Microbiotheriidae. The record is from RefSeq and is a predicted model, not a curated record.
GAGUUUCAUGUAGCACAUAUACCAAACUUGCAAUAAUAAAGAGAAAUUUUACAUGGCCCCUGGAAAAGGAAACACGCAAAGUUAUGAAGCAUUUACAAUUUUU